Molecule: long non-coding RNA, 3741 nt
Filed under: Lathyrus oleraceus (garden pea)
Lineage: Eukaryota; Viridiplantae; Streptophyta; Magnoliopsida; Fabales; Fabaceae
Description: Pisum sativum (pea) long non-coding RNA (PSAT_LNC022649)
Source: RNAcentral
GUAACGACUCUCUUCACAUUGCAAAGAGUCUGCAAAAGAAGUCAAGAAAAUGCAUGAUGAUUGCCAUAAUAUUGAUCCUGCUCAUUGCCAUCUUUAUAGUACUCGCUGUUUUGAAACCAUGGAAGAAGUAAUCAGAAGAGAAAAGUAACUUCCACACAAAAGAACUCUCAUUAUUUCAUAUUCAUGUUGUUUUUCAAGUGCAAGAAAACUCACACUUGACACAGUAGUAUAACAUUGUUUAUGGUAUCUCUCUUUAUCGAAUUGGCUUGCUGUGCAUAUUUGCACUGUUAAUGCAUAGUAAGAUGUCAACUUUUAUAUACUCUGAACAUCAAAGGAAAAAAAUGCACAUGCACAUUUGCAAUUGAUGGCUAUGAUAUACUUGUGAACAUUGAUGACUUUGUUGCAGGAGAAUAAUGCUACUCAUACUUCACUUUGUUUAACCAACUAUCAAGCUUGUUUAACCAAUGAUCUACAUAUAGUUAACCACUAAACUAAAAGUGAUUUGAUAGGAAUCACCAUUAACUAGUAGUUAGGUGGUUUAGCAUAUGUAGGUUAUAUUACUUGAAUAGGUUUAGAUUGAAAGUUAAUCAAAGUGAUGUAUAUGGAAGUGCAUAGAAGUGUCACUAUUCUUCUUUCCUUGUAUGUAAAUGAUUGAUAUAUUUACAGGAGAAAUAAGGCAAAGUAAUGUGUUCAGAAGUUGAGUUACAGAUCUCAAUAACACAAAAUGGGUAAGAAAGAUGAGAAAAAACUUUGAAAUAGUAAAUAUAUUACAAAUGGAGGAACAACUUAUAAGUUGAAGAAAGAAAUCUUAUGGCUAUCAUUUUCUGUUAAAAACAUCUGUGAUCAUUGGAGGAGCGAGCUUCUUUGAGGCACAUGAGGUAGCUCCCCCCACUAUUGCUCUAACCUUAUCAGUUCUAUAAUCCCUUUGUCAAUUGAGGUAACAGAUGUCAAAGAUAGAAUAGUCUUUGAUACAAUCGUCCUCAUUGAUAGCUAGCUUAUAAAGGGAGGGCUUGCCAAGUUCUUAGAUGCUUAGUGGCUCGAAAAGGGAUACCUAUGGAGGGGCUAAUAGGAUAAGGCCAAGUAAGGCACCAUAGAGUAUCAGCCACCGGGACAUCGGCUCUAGGGGUGGUGCUAUGAUAGAAACUUAGGCAUUUCGGGAUGCCCAAGUAUCUCAUCGAGUAGUUAGGGAUGCCAAAGCAAGUCUGCCUCUAAUACAAACACGUAUGGUUAUAUAUGCUCACUUGCUCAUUUUAGAGGCAUGUUCACUUUAGAAGUAUUAUCCCUUGUCACAUACCAAAUUUUGAUUUUAUCAAAGCAAGGAAAUGAUAUGCUCUUUUACCUCUCAAAUCUGAACAUUGUUUCAGUAUCUCGACAAGGGGUGGCAAAUAUGUGUUUAAGCCCGUCCUACAAAAGCCCGGAAAAAAAAAGGCGCGGGACAAGUAUAGUUGAGGGUGUGGACCUAAAUUCUUGGCCCACCCUCCGAAAAAAUGAGGGUGGUAGGGGCUGGCAUGCGGGUUUUGCACUCCUAAAGGCUAAAAAUUGCAAAAAAUCUUGUUAAUGCCCACGCCCGCAAAAAACUGAAUGGGGCAGGACGGACAUAUUAGAUGGGCCGGACUUUAAAUCUUGGUCCGCUUUGCGAAAAAAUGUAGACAAAACGGGCACGCCCGGCGGACCGGGCUCGUUUUUCCAUCCCUAAUCUCAGCAUUGAACAAUCUUUUCUGUUAUUAACUUACUCAUCAACAACUCGCCAUUCCCUCAAAAUAUUUAGUCAAUUUCUGCCACUGUCCUGCACCAUCAUCAUACAAUAUCUUAUUUAUCCUCCAUAGUUCUUAGAAUGCUGAGACUUUUGAUGGCCAUACCACCUAUUAGUGGAACACAUUCUAUUCUACCAUUCUAGACCUCAUGAAAAACAGGGAAAUAACAUUAAAGUUCUGAAGGUAUGUCUAGCAUGAAGAAAGAAGAAAAGGGGGAAAGGAGUUUCACCAUUUACAAUACUCUCACUUAUCCUUCAGCAUCCAUAUAGGGCUUAAUGGGCAAUGAAAUCAUUGAAUACUCUUCAGUUUGGUAUUUUGGUUGCUAAAUAGAAUAGCAAAAAUAUCAACAAACUCAUAGUGAUUCCGAACAUUACUUUAACUAAAACCAUCUAAAAUAAUUUGUUAAAUAAAUAAUAGCAAUAUGAACUAUAACUUUUCAAUAAGGCACAUCUAGAAGCAAAUCUAUUCACCUUUCAGAAUUUCAUACCUUUUCUUGAUAGAUGACUCCAACAUUCCACGGUAGUAGAUGUUGACAAAUUUCUUGCUAUCAAAACUAAAGUCAAUUCAUGGAAGUACAUAUAGCAACUUGAACAAUUCUAAUCAUUCAAAUCAAGGGAGUUACAGUUAUAUACAUCCACACUUUAGUUCUAUCAUAAUCCAAUUGUAAAAGCAUAAAAAUCCAGAUCCAAAACUUCUCAUGAUAACAAACACAGGGGCGUUAAGAAUGUAAUAUUCAGCCCCUGAAGAAGAUUGAAUGCUAGCAGCAAUACAGCACAACAAGAAAAACCUCAAACAUCUAACAGCAAUACUAGAUUUAAAAUUGCAUAGCUCAAACUUCCAUUUGCUUGAGAGAAACACGACUUUGUUAAAAAAAAGGUUAUGGUUCAUUGUUAAUAAAAAAUAAAAAGCUUGCUCCAAAAUGAACAUUUGUUUAAAAGUAAAAAAUGUAACUCUAAGUAUAGUUGAAAAUUUCACAUUAUUUUCCCCCACAAACCUACUUUAACAAUAGUAAUUUUUCAAUUGUCUGCAAAUGCUAACUCAACUGAUAAAUCUCGUCAACCAUAAACCAUAAACCAGCUCAAUCGAAACAAACACUUAAAACAAUCAAUUUUCAAAAUCAAGAUUAUAUAAAAUCAAAUUUGCAACCACUCACUCAAACAAACAAGCAAUAAAAAGUAAAAACCCUAGUUUUAAAGUUCUACACUGCACUUAUAAGCUAUUGAAACUGUUUUCCUUUUCGGAUUUGAGAAUUCUUAAUUAUUUCAAUAAACAAUCAAAUUUAUUGCAUUAUACAUAAAAUCCCAAUGUAAAUUAAUCUUAGAGAUAAAAACUUCCAAAUAUAAAUCACUUCAUUUAAAUAUUAUUUCAAGAAAAUCAAUUAUAUAUAUAUAAUAAUUAUAUAAUAUAUAUAUUAUAAUAUAUAUAUAUAUAUAUAGAUAGAUAUAUAUAUAUAUAUAUGAUCAUCCAAAAUCAAAUUUACAAACCCUCAACCAAAAACACAAAAUUGAAAAAUCCAUGAUUCAUGAUCUCCACAUAGCUUUUGAGCUUUUAAUACUUUUAUUUUUAUUGAAGAACAAAAAAAAUCAAAAUCCAUAAGACAAAAAGAUAAGAAAAAGGACAAAAGCAUAGUAGUAAGAUCUGGAAUAUUUGAAAAUCAAAAUCUGAAAGUAAUACUAGCAACAAGAAUAAUGAAUAAAUAAUAAGAAAGAAGAGUUUGUUUUGAAGAUUUAGAAGCAGGUAGAAAAUAAGAAAAAAAAAAGCAUACCUUGAAUUGAAGAUGUUAGAAUUUGUUGUUAAUGAAUGGUUAGAAGAGAAGAGGUUAGAUCUUUGAUGGCGAAUUGCAUGUGUUCUUGUUAUCUGGUUAGAUCUAUUUGCGGUGAGUGGUGAAUUGUGAUUUGUGUGUUUAAGAGAGAGAAAGAUGUAGUCAAAGAGAAAAAGAUGGGAGAGGAUUGAAUAUUCACCAAUAAAACUAGUGUUUUAGAAAGAG